CCAGACGGUUGGACGGCCGCUGCCAAAGGUAACUUUGGUGGAGGAAAGUCCGGGCUCCACGGAAAUACGGUGCCGGCUAACAGCCGGCGGGGGUGACCCCAGGGACAGUGCCACAGAAAACAAACCUCCUCCCAGGCUUGCCUGAAGGGAAGGGUGAAACGGUGCGGUAAGAGCGCACCGCGGCCUUGGUAACAAGGCUGGCAGGGUAAACCCCACCGGGAGCAAGACCGAAUAGGGGCGGCCGGCUUUGUGUGAAAGCAUGGAAGCGGGAGUAUUUUCGAUCCGCCGCCCGGGUUGGUCGCGCGAGGCGUGUUGCAAAACACGUCCCAGAGGAAUGGCCGUCCAGCGCCCGCGAGGGUGUGGACAGAACCCGGCUUACAGGCCGUCUGGAUAU
This 394-nucleotide RNase P RNA is filed under the name Acidocella sp. Its description in RNAcentral is "RNase P RNA component class A". It matches the Rfam family "Bacterial RNase P class A". From Rfam's summary of the family: Ribonuclease P (RNase P) is a ubiquitous endoribonuclease, found in archaea, bacteria and eukarya as well as chloroplasts and mitochondria. Its best characterised activity is the generation of mature 5'-ends of tRNAs by cleaving the 5'-leader elements of precursor-tRNAs. Lineage: Bacteria; Pseudomonadati; Pseudomonadota; Alphaproteobacteria; Acetobacterales; Acidocellaceae. The record is from RNAcentral.